UGAGGAAUUUUGCGCAAUGGGAGCAAUCCUGACGCAGCAACGCCGCGUGGGUGAUGAAGGCCUUCGGGUCGUAAAGCCCUGUCAGGUGGGAAGAAUGUCCCGGGACUGAACAGGUUCCGGGAGUGACGGUACCACCAGAGGAAGCACCGGCUAACUCCGUGCCAGCAGCCGCGGUAAUACGGAGGGUGCAAGCGUUAUUCGGAAUUACUGGGCGUAAAGCGCGUGUAGGCGGUCCUGCAAGUCUGAUGUGAAAGCCCCGGGCUUAACCCAGGAAGUGCAUUGGAAACUGUGGGACUUGAGUACUGGAGAGGAUGGGUGAAUUCCCGGUGUAGAGGUGAAAUUCGUAGAGAUCGGGAGGAACACCAGUGGCGAAAGCGGCCUCCUGGGCCAUUUCUGACGCUAAGACGCGAAAGCUAGGGUAGCAAACG
Molecule: ribosomal RNA, 428 nt
Filed under: uncultured prokaryote
Description: bacterial SSU rRNA
Rfam family: Bacterial small subunit ribosomal RNA
Source: RNAcentral